Molecule: unclassified non-coding RNA, 212 nt
Rfam family: Eukaryotic small subunit ribosomal RNA (bases 1-46)
AAGUCGUAACAAGGUUUCCGUAGGUGAACCUGCGGAAGGAUCAUUAUAAAAUUUUCAUAUAUUAUUUAUUUAAUAUAUAAUAUUAUUUAUUUAAUAUAUAAAAUUAUAUACAAAAUGUAUUCAAAACCCACACACUUUAUAACCAAAAAAAAAAUAUAUAUUUUAAUAUAUAUAUAAAAAAACAACUUUCAACAACGGAUCUCUUGGCUCUC